RNAcentral lists this ribosomal RNA (506 nucleotides) under uncultured bacterium. RNAcentral's name for it is "partial 16S ribosomal RNA". It matches the Rfam family "Bacterial small subunit ribosomal RNA", at positions 30 to 523 of the family's 1533-position model. The record is from RNAcentral.
AUUGAACGCUGGCGGUAUGCUUAGCACAUGCAAGUCGAACGGCAGCAUGGUCUAGCUUGCUAGACUGAUGGCGAGUGGCGGACGGGUGAGUAACGCGUAGGAAUAUGCCUUGAAGAGUGGGACAACUUGGGGAAACUCAAGCUAAUACCGCAUGUACUCGAGAGAGUAAAGCUGGGGACCUUUAGGCCUGGCGCUUUAAGAUUAGCCUGCGUCCGAUUAGCUAGUUGGUAGGGUAAAGGCCUACCAAGGCGACGAUCGGUAGCUGGUCUGAGAGGAUGAUCAGCCACACUGGAACUGAGAGACGGUCCAGACUCCUACGGGAGGCAGCAGUGGGGAAUAUUGGACAAUGGGGGGAACCCUGAUCCAGCAAUGCCGCGUGUGUGAAGAAGGCCCGAGGGGUGUAAAGCACUUUCAGUGGGGAGGAGGUUUGGAAGGUUAAGAGCUAUUCAAAUGGACGUUACCCACAGAAGAAGCACCGGCUAACUCCGUGCCAGCCGCCGCCGUAA